UCUGCACCCCCCCAGGCCUCCUCCCCUCUGCUGCCCCCCGCCACCCUCCCCCAGCUCCUGGGUUCUCCUUCGCCCCUUUAUGUUACACGAUCGCUCAAAUUGAAGCUCAGGAGGGUCCUAUAGGGAAUGCAUAGGAUCCCUGGGAGAAAAAAGCCCCAACAAGCUAUACACCAGAUGUAUAACGUUAUAUGGUCAAACUGGCAAACACAAAAGCUGAAAAACAAAAGGCGUGAAUUAGGGAGAGGCAUUCAAAGGCGUGUUUUCAAAACAGCCCGGCCAAGAGCCUGGAUCCCCCUCCUGAGACUAAAUGCUUGAAAGAAAAGGUGCUAAAGAAAGAAAGGAAAAGGGGGAAAAAAAAAAAAGCCCAUUUUUUCUAAUUAGCUGAGGCCUAACGGGCUCUGAAUUUCGCAACUAGUUUUCAUCAAGGGGGUUGCGGCUUGUGAAACUGAAAAAAAAAUGCUUUUGAAACCUGUGAUGUAGACCUUCUCGAGACCAAAGCUCCACUUCAUCGUCAGGCUUUUUUUUUUUUUUCCUCCCCCUGGUUUUUCGGGUUCUGCUUUGCUUUCUAUCUGUAUGGAUCUCUUUUUUCACACCCUUCCCCCAAAGUACAAAUAUGAUUUGGGUUUAAAAGAGAGCAGGAGAGAAAGCCACAGCACAGCGGCCUUCCCGCCCCUCUUUCUGUCUCCUUUGGCGGGGAGCUUUCCUUGCCAGCCACAGUGGCUGUGAAUCUCAUUCCAAAGCUCCUCGGAGCACCAGAGGGCUCGGGAAAGGUGUCACCAGGACUCCGUGUGCUUCCUGUAAGCGCUGGGAGUGCUAUGAAAAGCCCUCCACCACUGUAAAGUCGGGUAUUUGGAAGAGGAGCUCCCUGAUCUCCUUUUGAGAGUUCUUUCAAACACAAGACAGCAAGGUGUAGUCUAGCCACGCUAUUGGCCCCCCGCACCCUUGAGAAAGGACUUGCACAGUAUCAUUUCUUUUAAAUUAUCCUUAAAGUGCAGAAAACGAUCUUGAACGCUGUAGCUGGAGAUGCACUGCUCCUCUGCUGCCUGAAAUUAUGAACCUGAAUUUGGCAAGCCCAUUUCUAAUAAGAAACCAAAAUAGAAGUUGUGGGUGAGUUUGGUGGGCAAGCUGGGUUUGGAAGAGAGGCAACUUUAAUUGCCGCGCUGGCUGGCUUGGAUGCCUGUGGUCCUGCGUGGUGUGAUUUAGUAACAAGCACUUGUUCUAAUGAAUUAGCCUUAUUAGGGGGCUCCUCAUAUUCUUUCAUAAAGAGCAGAGCUAUUCUAAACUUCUGAAUGCAACAGUCUCUUGAUAUUCUCACGCUGCCGGCUGUAGUGUGGGCUUGCUUUUCCUCCUCUGUAUUUUCAUAGCUUAUAUUUUUUAAUGGAAGAAAAGGGAGCCACUGAAAGAAGAAAACCACAGAGCUUGUAGGUACUGGCCAUCCGGGAACACAGGGCCAUGCAAGGGGCUUGGAGAAUUUUUAUGCUGAAAAUGUAUUUGCAUUUAUAGCUGCACAAUCCGGAUUUUGGUUCAGUCACCUUCUGGCACAUUUUUUUUUUUUUUGAUAAACUCAUGGCAAUGGAUAAAACAGAUUCAUUAGCUUUGAUUAACCUUCUUUAACUAGAGUUAAAAACCUGCUCUAGGCAGCUCCACAAACAGUGUAGCCUUUAAGAUACUUUAUCAUGUUUAAGACCCAAUUACUGUUGCACUGAAUAAGAAUAAAACAUCACAAUAAAAUGUGGUACAAACAGCCACUCUACUGCGCACGGCAAAUAAUCAUUAAUUUAUAACAGCGACUUUCCCAGUUCUAUGGUUUUCUGAUGGCUGCCCCUAAUUCAACUUGAAUACUCUGGAAUCUGAUGCUGAUAUAAGAAACUAGUAUCCCAGCAGUAAUGACUGUUAGGGUUUUUUUCCCCCCUUGUCUCACAGCUUUAGUUUGGAGACUCCGAAAGCUCCUUUAGAAAUUCCAAGCUAAUGGAGAAAUAAAGGAAAUCAAGGCAAUACAGAUCUAGGUCUUCCUAGCAGAAUAUUAAAAUGUGGUGACUCUUAAGGGCUUUAGAAUGAUUUCUUGUGAAUAAUUGGAAUUGUUUCUGCUUAGAAAAUUUCAAUGGUAACGAAAGACAGUCCAGUAAAAACAGCAUUGAGUUGAUUAAAAGUUAUUUAUAUGACGUGUACGUGCAAACAUUUUGAAAGAGACCCCACAAGGUCCAUUUUGUGUAUCUUGUGGGGAAAAAGCUGGGGAAUCGGUACAGCACACAAGGAGUUAAUUUUGGACAGGAUUUGACUGAACAGGGAAUAAUGAUCAGUGAGAUACUGCAGCUUUCAGGCAAAACAGAGUAACAACAAUUAAAAAGAGAGAGGGAGGAUAAAGGGAAAAAACAAUCUCCAGUCAGUUAACUAACAAGAGCAAUCCAAUGUUUGACACAGAUAAAACUGAGGCCACCAGGCUUGCCGCUGACGCUGGCUUUGAGGUUGAGUGUGCGAAGCAUUACAACAUUUGCGAGCCAACUGUCGAAUAUGUCCAUAUAACAAUGAUAUAGUUGAAGGAAGAAAUUAAAGUUGAAAGUUUUGAAAAAUAUAGUGAUGACUUCUUUGGCUUCCUGCAUCUAUCGGAAGAUGACUGCUUAACCACUACUUAAAGACCCAGCCCUGAAAUGACUGGAAAUCACCCUGACCUCAAGGAGCAUGAAAUCCCCUUUGUCUGCUGGACAACUCUGCUCUCAUUUCUAGAGAGGUCUUGCAAACAAUUCUGGGAUAAGAUGUGGCAGAACUUGAGCCUGAUCAUGGGACUCUUCUGAUUCAUCUCUUUCCGGUGCAGACUGAGAGCACUUACAAGAAUGGGAGAUAAAAGAAGGGCUUAGUCCCAAAGCCCUCUGAAAGUUUGGAUUUUGUUAAGAAAGACAAAAAGGACAUCAAUUAAAGACUGCUAUGGAGUAUAUUUCAAAUGCUCAUAUUUUUGCUCCAUUCCAGUAAAGGUUUCUCUCCAAAGAAAUUUGGUCCCGAGGAAGAAUAAAAGAAUGGAUGAUAUUUUAUUGUCUCUUGGAGAUGUUGGAAAUACUUCACUCCUACAUGUCUGGGGUUGUUUUCAUCUUGCCAAGUACUUUGAUAUUUGUGAAUAUGGCUACAUGGCUUGAAACAAGAGCAGUGAUAACUCAUACUAAUUAUUUAGCUUGUAUUUUAAUGCCUGACAAGAGAGAAAAGAACUUUUUCUUCCACGAUUCUGGUUGUAAAAAUUAAGAAGCUCAAGGGGAAGUGGAAGAUCUGUGUUCUUAAAAAGUUUCCAACUCACAGAUUUCUUGGAUCUAAACCAAUGAGAGCUUCCUGCAAAUAGGGAUCUCACCUCUGCUGACUUCUAGGCUCCGCAAAGCAGCUCAGAUUGGGGGCUGCUGCAUAAGUCCCACCACUCCCAAGCCUGUCUGCCAAUGGACAUCAGCAAUGAGUCUGGAUUAGAAAGAAGCUGAUCUGCUCCUCCCCCAUGCUCUUCUUUUCCAUUCAAGAUGAAAGUCUAACGUAUCAGCACUCCCCUUGCUACAUUCCGACAGAAGCAAUCUAAAUUAGAGUCAAGGAGUGUGAUGUUAAAUAUCUGGAAUCUCAGACAGACAAAAUGUGAUGUGCUAGAAUAUACAUGGAACAUAAUGAAAUGAUCUGGAAUACAGAAUUAAACAAUGAGGCUGGCUUAAGGGUAAGGACUAAAUAACCACGGUGCUUUAUUUGAUGCACAUGUUCCUUUGAAGUGGGUCCAAAAUAACAACUCAUUGCCUGAUCCUCAGUUUGCACCUUGGCAGGUCCAAGUAUCUUUUGAAAAUGCGAAGGGAAGCCUAGAGAGAAAACAGUCUGAUGAAGUCCAUCUCAAAGGACAGCACAGAAGAUCUUAGGAGAUGUCAAAAACACUCUGCAAAAUACUGGAAGUUGACAUGAAAUAUGCUAAAGAAGACCCUGAAGUGUGCAAAGAAGAAAGCAGUCUGACCAGGAAACUACGGCUUAAGAACAACACCUGAGAAGCUUCCUCUUUGCCUCCUACAUCUCAGACCUAGAGUUCCGAACCAAGGAUCCAAAAAUAAUAAUGGGCUCAAACAAGAAAGUCCACAACAAAAGCUUGUACACUCUCUCUCUCUCUUUUCUCUCUCUCUCUCACUCUCUCCACCCCCUUCCUCUCUCCCUCUCUCCAAAAGACCUGGAAAGGCGCAACCAAACAACACAGGAAAAUGCUUAGACAAUAACUUUCAACAAAACACCACAAAACUGAGUUAAUGGUGCCAAAUGACACUGAGAGAGAGCCAGGAUUCUCAUCCCUGCAGAUAUUCAAGCAAACCUCCCCAAACUUGGGGAAUCAACGAAGGCCAUUUGGGGAGCAAUAAAAAGACAUCCAUGCCCCUCUCAUAGAGGGAAGUGUCAUUGAAAGUCUGACUUCUAUUUCCACCUAGCAGUACAGUAAGCUUGUGUCACCACUUCUCUGCCAGCAGGAGACCACCUAAACAGGAGGGCGAAGUAAGUCCACAGUCUCUCAGUACAGUAUCCAAGUACCUAGAUUUCAAGAGCAAAUCACUCAUCAUUGCAAGAACAAGAGAAAGCUCAAAUUCACUCUAACAGGACAGCAAACAUGUUCUGCAAUCUAUAUGACACAAAUGUGAAGGUUGUCCUUCAAAGACUUGACAGCAGCCAUCAUAGAAAUCCUCCAAAGAGAAAUUACAAACAUUAGUGAAACUGUUGGAACAGAACACUUCUGCAAAGACACAGGAUGUCACCACAAAAGAUGGGUAUACAACCGAAGAUGUAGCUCAGCAGGUGCAGGGCCUGCCUGGCAAGUGUGAGGCCCUGAGUUCGAUUCCUGGUACCAAAAAAAAAAAAAAAUAGAUAUAUAGAGAUGAGUCAAAUGGAUUAAAAAUGCAAUAACCAACUAAAAAGCCAAGGCCUGGGUUCUACAAAAUAAUGGAAACACAAAGAAAAAGUAUCCAUGGACCAAAAGACAGCAAUAGAAAUUGCUUAUCAUGAGAGAAACUAUAGACAAGAAAAAAAUGAACUUAGCUCAAUGACCUGUAUAAUUAUAUAUAUAUAUAGAAAAGAUGUAACAGUUACACUGCCAAAGUCCUAGUGAGAAAGAAGGCAAACUUGAAAACAGGUGCCUUAACAAAUUACAGCUGAAGUUUCCCUAUAUUUAAUAAAAGAUAUCAAUCAGAUUUCAGAAACAUGGUGAACCUCAAACAGGAUAAAUUCAACAGCUAUCCAUACUAAAAGAUUCCCUAGUCAAACUUUUGAGAACUAAAGAUGGAAACAGAAACUCAACUCAGAUAUCCUUUGAAGAUGAACUGGUCAAGAAGACCAUGAUAUCUUAUGCAUAUAUCAAUAAAAGAAAACCUUGCAUUAGUUAUACGUGUAACACUGAAACGAUCAGGGCUAGUCAUCAGAGAAUGAUGGAGAAUGACAAAAGCUAUAGUGUAUGGUUCCAUUUAUAUAACAUUAUUGAAGUGACAACAUUAUAGAAAACAACUUAGGGCUAAGAAGGGGUAAGAAUGAGGGAACUGGCCAUGGCUAUGAGGACAACAUGAAGAACUUUGUAGGAACGGAAAAAAUAACCCUUUAUCUUGACUGUAUCAGUUUCAGUAUCUGAUAUAUUAUGCUAUGGUUUUACAAGUUGUUAGCACUGAGAGAAACAGGUAAAGGAUUACUCUACCUUAUUUCCUACCAUGUGAUGGAAAUCUACAAUUAUGUCAAAAUAAAAGUUAAUUAAGGCAAAGUUCUGCAAGCCUUAUAUCUAAUGGUUACAUUACUCUGGACAGAGAAUCAAAGCAUUUUGACAGUGUCACUUGAAUCUUAUGCAACCUUGGACAAACAUUCGGACCCUCUAAACCUACUUCAUUGCCAGUAAAAUGAGCAUGACUACAUCAACUCUACUUAUUUCUCCAGGGUAUCCAGGGUAAGAUGAAAAUGACCAUGAAGGUGCUUCUUAACCCCUUAUGUACCAAAAGAAAUAGAAUGAAAUGUGGGUAAAUACUGUAUGCAAGGCUCUAAUCUAAAGUGUGCACCCUCCUUUCUAUCUACAUGGUCUGAUUGUAUGUGAACUUGAGUGAUACGGCAUGUGACAUUUAGAGGAGGCCCACUAAAGAGAAAUCCCCAUCUUUCAUCAGAUCUUUCUCAGGUAUUCAGGAGUUCCCGAACUCAACAGUCUCAAGGUCUACAGUAACUCUUACCAAAUCCCUGACCUUCAAUACUCUGAAAUUUCUGAUAGCCUUUCAUUCUCCUUUCCUUGAACAUGCUAAGCCAUCUCAGACCUUCCUUUCCUUUCCACUUAGUUAACUUUUUUGUUGCUGAGACAAAAUACACAACACCCAAAG
Chinchilla lanigera (long-tailed chinchilla) is the source of this 6326-nucleotide long non-coding RNA. RefSeq lists it as uncharacterized. Lineage: Eukaryota; Metazoa; Chordata; Mammalia; Rodentia; Chinchillidae. The record is from RefSeq and is a predicted model, not a curated record. The transcript has 4 exons.